UGAGCACGCACUGCAGGACUGUUUGGGU
RNAcentral lists this non-coding RNA (28 nucleotides) under Homo sapiens (human). Lineage: Eukaryota; Metazoa; Chordata; Mammalia; Primates; Hominidae. The record is from RNAcentral.